AUUGAACGCUGGCGGCAGGCCUAACACAUGCAAGUCGAGCGGAUGAAGGGAGCUUGCUCCUGGAUUCAGCGGCGGACGGGUGAGUAAUGCCUAGGAAUCUGCCUGGUAGUGGGGGAUAACGUCCGGAAACGGGCGCUAAUACCGCAUACGUCCUGAGGGAGAAAGUGGGGGAUCUUCGGACCUCACGCUAUCAGAUGAGCCUAGGUCGGAUUAGCUAGUUGGUGGGGUAAAGGCCUACCAAGGCGACGAUCCGUAACUGGUCUGAGAGGAUGAUCAGUCACACUGGAACUGUGACACGGUCCAGACUCCUACGGGAGGCAGCAGUGGGGAAUAUUGGACAAUGGGCGAAAGCCUGAUCCAGUCAUGCCGCGUGUGUGAAGAAGGUCUUCGGAUUGUAAAGCACUUUAAGUUGGGAGGAAGGGCAGUAAGUUAAUACCUUGCUGUUUUGACGUUACCAACAGAAUAAGCACCGGCUAACUUCGUG
This 484-nucleotide ribosomal RNA is filed under the name uncultured bacterium. Its description in RNAcentral is "partial 16S ribosomal RNA". It matches the Rfam family "Bacterial small subunit ribosomal RNA", at positions 30 to 507 of the family's 1533-position model. The record is from RNAcentral.